UCGGGAAUUUUGGGCAAUGGGGGGAAACCCUGACCCAGCAACGCCGCGUGAAGGAUGAAGUAUUUCGGUAUGUAAACUUCGAAAGAAUAGGAAGAAUAAAUGACGGUACUAUUUAUAAGGUCCGGCUAACUACGUGCCAGCAGCCGCGGUAAUACGUAGGGACCAAGCGUUGUUCGGAUUUACUGGGCGUAAAGGGCGCGUAGGCGGCAUGACAAGUCACUUGUGAAAUCUCUGGGCUUAACCCAGAACGGCCAAGUGAUACUGUCGCGCUAGAGUGCAGAAGGGGCAAUCGGAAUUCUUGGUGUAGCGGUGAAAUGCGUAGAUAUCAAGAGGAACACCUGAGGUGAAGACGGGUUGCUGGGCUGACACUGACGCUGAGGCGCGAAAGCCAGGGGAGCAAACGGGAUUAGAUACCCCAGUAGUCCUGAGCGGGCUGGCAAGGCGCAU
RNAcentral lists this ribosomal RNA (447 nucleotides) under uncultured bacterium. RNAcentral's name for it is "bacterial SSU rRNA". It matches the Rfam family "Bacterial small subunit ribosomal RNA", at positions 355 to 825 of the family's 1533-position model. The record is from RNAcentral.